AAAGCAGUAAAGGAGACUUCUAAUCACCUAAUCCCACACAAGGGUUGCUUUA
Molecule: transfer RNA, 52 nt
Filed under: Tyrophagus putrescentiae
Lineage: Eukaryota; Metazoa; Arthropoda; Arachnida; Sarcoptiformes; Acaridae
Description: tRNA-Ser
Source: RNAcentral